UACGUAGGGUGCGAGCGUUGUCCGGAAUUAUUGGGCGUAAAGAGCUUGUAGGCGGUUUGUCGCGUCUGCCGUGAAAGUCCGGGGCUCAACUCCGGAUCUGCGGUGGGUACGGGCAGACUAGAGUGAUGUAGGGGGAGACUGGAAUUCCUGGUGUAGCGGUGAAAUGCGCAGAUAUCAGGAGGAACACCAGUGGCGAAGGCGGCUCUCUGGGCCCUACCUGACGCUGAGACGCGAAAGCGUGGGGAGCGAACCGG
This 254-nucleotide ribosomal RNA is filed under the name uncultured bacterium. RNAcentral's name for it is "partial 16S ribosomal RNA". It matches the Rfam family "Bacterial small subunit ribosomal RNA", at positions 524 to 776 of the family's 1533-position model. The record is from RNAcentral.